RNAcentral lists this ribosomal RNA (85 nucleotides) under Bacillus mycoides KBAB4. The record is from RNAcentral. Lineage: Bacteria; Bacillati; Bacillota; Bacilli; Caryophanales; Bacillaceae.
ACCCGUUCCCAUACCGAACACGGAAGUUAAGCUCUCUAGCGCCGAUGGUAGUUGGGACCUUGUCCCUGUGAGAGUAGGACGUCGC